Paramuricea clavata is the source of this 255-nucleotide non-coding RNA. The record is from the annotation of a GenBank genome assembly. Lineage: Eukaryota; Metazoa; Cnidaria; Anthozoa; Malacalcyonacea; Plexauridae.
CCUGAUCAGAGCAAGUAAAAAUUUCAGCGAAAAAGUUACACUGCUCAGUUUUAUGUUAUUGUUGUACACCAAUAAUACCACAUGCAGGUUAUACUGGAACCAGAUAUUCAUUACAACUGCAUUACCGAACUAUUACGGACGUAAAAAACUUAUAUCAUUGUCAACAAUUGCAAGCUUGUAAAAAAUGGUCAUCUUGUAACAACGAUCUUGUUCAGAGUUACUCAAUUUUAAACACAAAAAGCUCUGAAACUAUAC